This 428-nucleotide unclassified non-coding RNA is filed under the name Hevea brasiliensis (rubber tree). The record is from RNAcentral. Lineage: Eukaryota; Viridiplantae; Streptophyta; Magnoliopsida; Malpighiales; Euphorbiaceae.
UGCAAUGGCCGUAUAUGGGGUUUUUGAUGCACUUUGCUCUCUAGUGGCUGGGCAUUUCACCUUUGGUCUCUCAUCUAUUUCGAUGAUUGUCUCGGGUGGAGCUUUAGUUCAGGGUGCUGUAUUGGUAUGGAUUCUACUGGCUCACAGUGUGACUGUUGGAGCUCUUGGCAUACUAUAUCCACUUCUCGUUGCAGCCUUGUGGGGCAUAGGUGAUGGAGUCUUGAAUACCCAGCUAAGUGCAUUGCUCGGGAUACUCUUCAAGGAUGAUCUGGAAGGAGCAUUUGCCCAACUUAAGCUUUGGCAGAGCUUUGCAAUUGCCAUAGUCUUUUUCCUCGCCCCCUACAUCUCGUUGCAGACAAUGUUAGUGAUUAUGUUCGUUGCCCUUUGCUUCUCCGCUCUUGGUUUUCUUUUCUUAACUCUUAAAGUAG